GUAUUAUAUAAUAUAUGCUAUAUAUAUUAUAUAAUAUGUAAGAUUAUUAUAGAACCAACGUUAUUAUUAUUAUUAUUAUUAAUCCCCAUUUUACAGAGGAGGUCACCGAGGCCCAGAGAAUAAUAAUAAUAACGUUGGUAUUUCUUAAGUGCUAUGUGCCAAGCACUAUUCUAAGCGCUGGGGGAGAUAGUUAGAACAGCGCUCGGCACAUAGUAAGCGCUUAACAAAUACCAACAUUAUUAUUAUUAUGAGCACGGUCCCUGUCUAGACUGCGAGCUCUUCGCGGGCAGAGAUCGUCUCUCUUUAUUGCUUGUAUUGUGCUUUCCCCAGUGCUUAGCAAGGUGCUGUGCACACAGUAAGCGCUCAAUAAAUACGACUAAAGGAAUGAACGUCCCCCAUGGGGCUCACAGUCUCAAUGAGCUCAGCGAGGCCCAGGGAAGGGAACUGAGUUGCCCAAGGUCACACGGCCAAGUGGCGAAGCAGGGUUUGGAACCCAGGGCCUUCUGAAUCCCGGAUUCUAACCACUAGUCCAUGCUGCUUCUCGGAGCCUUGGGCCCGGAGAUUUCGGGCCGGGGGCGGAGAGCGGGCGGAGGGCGACCCACCCCUGCGGGUCCAGAAGCUCUGAGAUGGGGGGCUUCCGUGCCGUUACAGGCGAUGAGGACCCCCGCAGAAUGGAGGAGCCUCAUCCUGCCGGUCCUGGCGGAGCUGUGGGCGGCGGCGGACUGCUUGACCACCCACUACCGGAGGACCGACAUCACCGUGCAGGAAGGAGCCCCGCUCACUCUCAGCUGCCCCGUGAACUAUGGCGGCGACCCACAGCAGAGGACGAGGGCCUUCUGGUGUAAGGGGAGCCACGGGGGCUGCUGCUCCGGAAAGGACACACUGGUGCAGUUGGAGAUGAAGGGGAAGUCCGACCCCGACGCUCGGGAGACACUGUGGUUCAACCUCACCGGCUCCAAGCCCUCCGACAGCGGCAUUUACCAGUGCUGUGUCGUUAACCAGAAGGCCAUCGUCUCCGGCCAUCAGAUCUCCGUGUCGGUGACAGAGGGAGGGAACGCGGUCGACCCCUCGCUGAACUCGACCAAGAACCGACUGGCCGGCGGAAGCCUCUCCAGCCGCGGCAAGGGGUCCCCGCCGUGGGUCUUCGUCCUUCGGUGGGCGGCCUGGGCGGUGGCGGUGGACGUACUGGUCGCCCUCUGCACAGGUGAGCCGGGGGGGGGGGGGGGGGGGGGGCGGGAACCUGGGGCCGGCUUCCUCCGGGAGGGAGGCGGGGAGGGGCCGAGGGGCCGGGACCUACCCCCUCGGGAGGUGUGCGUGUGUGUGUUUUCAUUCGUUCGGUCGUAUUUAUUGAGCGCUGCGUGCCGAGCGCUGUGCUAAGCGCUCGGAACGCACAAUCCGGCAACAGAGACAAGGGGCUCCCAGUCUAACAGACGUGUGCGGUGGGCCGGGGGGGAGAUCCCUCCUGAGCCCUAGGGCAGAAAGAGUAAAACUGACCCCUCAAAAUGGUCUCCCACCGCAGCGUGGCCUAGUGGCUGGAGCACGGGCCCGGGCGUCUGAAGGCCCUGGGUUCUAAUCCCGGGUCCGCCACUUGUCUGCGGUGCGACCUCGUCUGCUUUGCCACUCUGGGCCUCAGCUCGUCGGUAAAAUGGGGGUUAAGAGUGCGAGCCCCGCGCGGGCCGGGGACUGUGUCCAGCCCGAUUAACUCGCAUCUAGCCCAGCUCUAAGAGCAGCGCUUGGCACAUAAUGAGCCCUUAACACGGUCCCCCUCUCCUAGGUCGCUGAGGACGACGGCACCGCGGGGGAGUUGGCCGUGACGUUCCGGGUCCUGCCGAAUCGCCACCGGGCCGGAUGGGGCCGCGGGAGGCGGGGGUGGGGAUGCGGGAGGGAGAACAGUGUGAUGGACGCCCGAGCGGAUGGCGCCGGGGGAGCCUCUGCUCCCCUGCAGCUGCAGAACUUUCUCCAUGUCAGCCUCUCUGGGGAGUUUUCGGUCCAUCGGGCUGCCCGCGGUGGGGGGUCUUUCUCCCCUCUGGACUCUAAGCUCGUUUUUUCAAAUGGCAUUUGGUCAGCGCUAACUAUGCGUCGGGCGCUGUACUAAGCGCCGCGUAGUUCUAAGAUUAUCAGGUUGGACCCAGUCCCCGUUCCCGCAUGGGGCUCGCAGACUGAAUCACCAUUUUACGGAUGAGGCGACUGAGUCCCCGAGACGUGAGGUGACUUGCCCGAGGUCACGCAGGUGACACGGUAUUUGUUAAGCGCUUACUAGGUGCCGAGCACUGUUCUAAGCGCUGGGGGAGAGACAGGGUCAUCAGGCGGUCCCACGUGAGGUCACAGUCUUCAUCCCCAUUUGGCAGAUGAGGGAACUGAGGCCCAGAGAAGUGAAGGGACUUGCCCACGGUCACACAGCUGACAAGUGGCAGAGUCGGGAUUCGAACCCAUGACCUCUGUCUCCCAAGCCCGGGCUCUUUCCACUGAGCCACGCUGCUUCUUUAAAUCUGAUUCGGGGAUUCAGCAGGGCCUAGUGGAAAGAGAGCAGUCCUGGGAGUCAGGAGACCUGGGUUCUAGUCUCAAGCCCGCCUCGGGCAUGCUGGGUGCGAAUUUGGCCAGGUCACUCGACCUCCCUGUCUCCCCCUAUUUAUAAUGGAAAUGCAGUAGAAGAGAAGCAAAGAGAGGUAAAAAGAGAAAAAAGAGAGAAGUUAAAAGAGAAGCAGCGUGGCUGAGUGGAAAGAGCCCGGGCUUGGGCGUCAGAGGUGGUGGGUUCUAAUCCUGGCUCCGCCACUUGUCUGCUGUGUGACCUUGGGCAAGUCACUUCACUUCUCUGGGCCUCAGUGACCUCAUCUGGAAAAUGGGGAUUCAAAAAUGUGAGCCCCACGUGGGACAACCUGAUGACCCGGUAUCCGCCCCAGCGCUUAGAACGGUGCUCAGCACAUAGUAAGCACUUAACAGAUACCAUCAUUAUUAUUAUUAUUAAGUCCUUGCUCUCCCUCACUUUGAGACCGGCCGUGAGCCCCAUGAGGGACGGACAUUUUCCAAGAAGCAGCAGCAGCACGGCCUCGUGGACAGACGCGGGUUCUAAUCCUGCCUCGGCCACUUGUCUGCUGGGUGACCUUGGGCGCGUCAUUUCACUUCUCUGGGUCUCAGAGAAGUGUAAAAUGGGAUUAAGACUGUGAGCCCCACGGGGAACAUGGACUGCAUCCAACCUGAUUAAAUAUAUCUGGCUCAGCGCUUAGCGCGGUGCCUGACACGUAGCUUAGCAAACGCCAUUAAAAAAAAAAUCGAUUAUCCUUCAUCUACCCCAGCUUAGCUUAGCACGGUGCUUGUCAUGUGGAAAGCACUUAAUAAAUACCUUUGUUUUGUUGCUUUAUUACUAUUAUCUCUUUUCUUAUGCCAAUGGAGUGCCCGCCUCGGCCCAGCCUCCGUAAGCAGGCGGGAGUCAGGCUCAGGAAGGUGACUGUUUCCCCCUUGGUUUGGAGGGUCCAAGUCACUGGAGGCUGAUGGUGGCGAUUAGUGUGGAAGCUUCCCGUGGGCCUGGAUCGUGUCUUUUGUUUUUGUUGUACUUUCCCGAGCGCUCAGUACAGUGCCCGCGCCCGGGAGGUGCUCGCUACAACUCCCCGAGCUCCGUAAGUCCCCUGCCCGGCCUCUACUCGUGGUAAGGGCUCAGGGCCGGUCUCUGCCGAGAACUGGUGUUCAAUACAGUACCUUUCAUGCACAGUAAGCGCCCAGGGCAGGUCUCUGCAUAGAGCAGGUGUUCAGUACAGUAUCUUUCAGGCACAGUAAGCGCCCAGGGCGGGUCUCUGCAUAGAGCGGGUGUUCAGUACAGUACCUUUCACGCACAGUAAGCGCCCAGGGCCGGUCUCCGCAUAGAACGGGUGUUCAAUACAGUACCUUUCAGGCAGAGUAAGCGCCCAGGGCCGGUCUCUGCAUAGAGAGGGCGUUCAGUACAGUACCUUUCAUGCACAGUAAGCGCCCAGGGCCGGUCUCUGCAGAGAGCGGAUGUUCAGUACAGUUCCUUUCAUGUACAGUAAGCGCCCAGGGCGGGUCUCUGCAUAGAACAGGUGUUCAGUACAGUACCUAUCGCGCACAGUAAGCGCCCAGGGCCGGUCUCUGCAGAGAGCAGGUAUUCAGUACAGUAUCUUUCAUGCUCUAGACUCUCAGUAGAGCGCUACACACUCGGUGUCCAUAAUUUCCUCCAAAAAGUAAUAAAAUGAGUCAAACCUCGGCGGCUCGAUCGAAACCACUGAUAGGAUGCAGAAGAGAAUGGGAGCAGCGUGGCAUAGUUGAUUGGGCCUGGGAGUCAGGAGGUCGUGGGUUCUAAUCCCGCCCCCGUCCCUUGUCUGCUGUGUGACCCUGGGCCAGUCACUUCACUUCUCUGGGCCUCAGUGACCUCAUCUGCAAAAUGGGGAUGGAGAUUGCGGGACAGGGGCGGCGUCCAACCCCAUUUGCUUGUACCCACCCCAGCGCUCAGUAGAGUGUCCGGCACAUGGUAAGCGCGUGACAAGUACCACGAUCACUAUCAUUUUAUUACUCUUGUUGUUGUUGUUAAGCAUGAGAAGCAGCGUGGCUCAGCGGAAAGAGCCCGGGCUGGGGAGUCAGAGGUCACGGGUUCGAAUCCCGGCUCCGCCACUUGUCAGCUGGGUGACCUUGGGCAAGUCACUUCGUUUCUCUGGGCCUCAGUGACCUCAUCUGCAAAAUGGGGAUGAAGCCUGUGAGCCUCACGGGGGACCACCUGAUUGCCCUGCAAAAUGGGGAUGAAGCCUGUGAG
RNAcentral lists this long non-coding RNA (4756 nucleotides) under Ornithorhynchus anatinus (platypus). Its description in RNAcentral is "lncRNA (ENSOANG00000050719.1)". Lineage: Eukaryota; Metazoa; Chordata; Mammalia; Monotremata; Ornithorhynchidae. The record is from RNAcentral.